GACGAACGCUGGCGGCGUGCUUAACACAUGCAAGUCGAACGAAGUGGCGAACGGGUGAGUAACGCGUAAUCAACCUGCCCUUCAGAGGGGGACAACAGUUGGAAACGACUGCUAAUACCGCAUACUGAAGGAGGGGAUUGCGUCGGAUUAGCUAGCUGGAGGGGUAACGGCCCACCAAGGCGAUGAUCAGUAGGCGGGCUGGGAGGAUGAACGGCCAAAUUGGGACUGGGACCAGGGCCAGACUCCUACGGGAGGGAGCAGGGGGGAAUCUUCCGAAAUGGAGGAAAGUCUGACGGAGCAACGCCGCGUGAGUGAUGACGGCCUUCGGGUUGUAAAGCUCUGUUAAUCGGGACGCGGUACCGGAAUAGAAAGCCACGGCUAACUACGUGCCAGCCGCCGCGGUAAUUC
This 408-nucleotide ribosomal RNA is filed under the name uncultured bacterium. Its description in RNAcentral is "partial 16S ribosomal RNA". It matches the Rfam family "Bacterial small subunit ribosomal RNA", at positions 28 to 526 of the family's 1533-position model. The record is from RNAcentral.